Monodelphis domestica (gray short-tailed opossum) is the source of this 107-nucleotide small nuclear RNA. NCBI's taxonomy places the organism in Eukaryota, Metazoa, Chordata, Mammalia, Didelphimorphia, Didelphidae. The record is from Ensembl.
GUCCUUACUUCAACAGCACAAAUAUUAAAAUUGGAACAACACAGAGAAGAUUAACAUGGUCUCUGCACAAGGAUGGCACUUGAAUUUACAAAGCAUUCCAUAUUUUA